CCUACGGGUGGCUGCAGUGAGGAAUAUUGGUCAAUGGGAGGAAUCCUGAACCAGCCAUGCCGCGUGCAGGACGACGGCUCUACGAGUUGUAAACUGCUUUUGUACCGGGGUAAAAUGCUCUACGAGUAGGGUUUUGCAAGUACGGUACGAAUAAGGAUCGGCUAACUCCGUGCCAGCAGCCGCGGUAAUACGGGGGAUCCGAGCGUUAUCGGGAUUCAUUGGGCUUAAGGGGAGCGUAGGCGGGCGUUAAAGUCAGCGGGAAAAUCGCGCGGCUAAACCGCGCCCCGAAGUUGAAACUGGACGGCUUGAGUGCACAACAGGCAGGCGGAAUUCGUGGUGUAGCGGUGAAAUGCAUAGAUAUCACGAGGAACCCCGAUUGCGAAGGCAGCCUGCCGGGGUGCGACUGACGCUGAGGCUCGAAGGUGCGGGUAUCAAACAGGAUUAGAUACCCCAGUAGUC
Molecule: ribosomal RNA, 459 nt
Filed under: uncultured bacterium
Lineage: Bacteria
Description: partial 16S ribosomal RNA
Rfam family: Bacterial small subunit ribosomal RNA
Source: RNAcentral